Long non-coding RNA from Callithrix jacchus (white-tufted-ear marmoset), 951 nucleotides. RefSeq lists it as uncharacterized. The record is from RefSeq and is a predicted model, not a curated record. Lineage: Eukaryota; Metazoa; Chordata; Mammalia; Primates; Cebidae.
GACUGUGGGCGGUGGCCGCGCCAAACCCCGCCCAGCGUGGGACUUUUGCAUCCCCGCUACUGUGACGACGGAAGGCAGCGCCCCUGACCCACGCAAGAUCCCUCCCUGGCUGCAUGCAGUGCUCCCUCGGAGGGAGAUAUGGGAUGGGCAGUUUCCUUCAGAAGAUGCUUCAUAUGAAAGACACCACCCCCUGAUGUUUUGGAAACCCCAGGGAUAAGGUCUAGGGCCUGCAGCUUGCUGCCCGCAAAAAGCCAAUCACUGAGAGAAGUAUUGCCAAGGAAGAAGGCUUCAAUCAGGUGCUGCAGCCCAGAAGAUGGGAGACUAGCUGCAAAUCCAUCUCCCUGACCUACUAAAAUUGGGGGUCUAUAUAGCAGGGAAGACAUGUAACUGUGUAGGGGAAAACAGGAACUAGGGAGGAUUAAGGAAGCAAUCAUGAAGAAAGACGGAUCUGCUGUAUCCUUGUCUGUAUGCCGUCAUCUGGUGUGUUUCAAUUCUUUGAUACUUUUUUUUUCUUCAAAUGUUCUCUCAGAAUCAUCUUUUGAUGCUUUCUUGAGGGGCCUGAGGGUCUUUCCUGAGGAAGGAACUAAGAUAAAGCAAGUAUAAGUUUCAAGCUUUAAGACCAGAGAGUGCGGUGGGCUCACGCCUUUUGUCUCAGCACUUUGGGAGGCCGAGUCGGGCCAAGGCAGGUGGAUCACUUGAGGUCCGGAGUUCCUAACCAGCCUUGUCAACAUGGUGAAACCCGUCUCUAUUAAAAAUACAAAAAUUAGCCUGGCGUGGUGGCGCACACCUGUAAUCCCAGCUACUUGGGAGGCUGAGGCUGGAGAAUUGCUUGAACCGGGACCCAGGAUACAGAGGUUGCAGUGAGCCAAGAUCGUGCUACUGCACUCCAGCCUGGGCGAGAGAGCAAGAUUUCAUUUCAACAAAAGGCAAACAAAUUAAAAUUUAAAAACC